GCGUGAAACCGUUUGGAGGUAAACGGGUGGGAGCGCGAAGGUCGAACGGAUGGGAAGGGAUUCAACUUGGCGUGGUAGCAGCCAUUGCUUGGUGUGUGUCUGGGCUUCUUUUUCCUCCUUCACGGGAGGUUUAUUGUUGCUCCGCAUGCUGCUUUGGUGUUGUCUGCUGUGCCUUGUGCAUUUCCCUAAUUCCCCUCUCCUAGUAGGACGCCGCGACCGGCUGUCGAGGGGAGCCCAGGAGCUGAUUGGAGCAGCUGCGCGGACGAGUAAGGGACUUGCUCUCUGCGUCUGGUCUGUCUGUCUCCUUUCAAUUGGUGGGUUGCUUCCUCCGGCCGAGGAUACGUGCGAGUUGAACCUCUCGGGGUUCCUCGUCCAUGUACGUGCCUACGACUGUUAACGUUGCGGGUCGACAAAACCCCACGGGUGGCAGCGGGAUUCUGCGCGCCAGUCCUAGUGAUUGCGCGUGUCGGUUUCCUUUAGUCAGCCACCGUCGGUCAAGGUAUUGACUCCCGCUUUAUGGGCGCUAGGGGUCGGCGGCGAGUAGGUCGGUUUCCCACCCGACCCGUCUUGAAACACGGACCAAGAAGUCUAAUGUGCGGGCGAGUCUUCGGGGUAAUGAUAACCCUUGGAAGGCGAAAUGAAAGUGAAGGUUUGGUCGAUCACGUUUCGGCGUGGUCACCAGCCUGGGUGGGAUCCAUCGUCUAAUGGCGAAGGCGCACCACCGGCCCGUCCAACGGCCGCUUUGUCGGUCGGGCGGAGCAAGAGCCCACACGUUGGGACCCGAAAGAUGGUGAACUAUGCCUGGGCAGGACGAGGCCAGAGGAAACUCUUGGUGGAAGUCCGCAGCGGUUCUGACGUGCAAAUCGAUCGUCGGACCUGGGUAUAGGGGGCGAAAGACUAAUCGAACCAUC
This 911-nucleotide ribosomal RNA is filed under the name Polydesmida sp. NZAC03011289. RNAcentral's name for it is "eukaryotic LSU rRNA". It matches the Rfam family "Eukaryotic large subunit ribosomal RNA", at positions 397 to 944 of the family's 3401-position model. The record is from RNAcentral. Lineage: Eukaryota; Metazoa; Arthropoda; Diplopoda; Polydesmida.